UACGGAGGGAGCUAGCGUUGUUCGGAAUUACUGGGCGUAAAGCGCACGUAGGCGGCUUUGUAAGUUAGAGGUGAAAGCCCGGGGCUCAACCCCGGAAUUGCCUUUAAGACUGCAUCGCUUGAAUCCAGGAGAGGUGAGUGGAAUUCCGAGUGUAGAGGUGAAAUUCGUAGAUAUUCGGAAGAACACCAGUGGCGAAGGCGGCUCACUGGACUGGUAUUGACGCUGAGGUGCGAAAGCGUGGGGGAGCAAACAGG
Molecule: ribosomal RNA, 254 nt
Filed under: uncultured bacterium
Lineage: Bacteria
Description: partial 16S ribosomal RNA
Rfam family: Bacterial small subunit ribosomal RNA
Source: RNAcentral